Molecule: long non-coding RNA, 248 nt
Filed under: Olea europaea (common olive)
Lineage: Eukaryota; Viridiplantae; Streptophyta; Magnoliopsida; Lamiales; Oleaceae
Description: long non-coding RNA (OEUR_LNC006628)
Source: RNAcentral
AUAGAAUAUGUAGAAUUAACUAUGACCAAAAAAAAAAAAAUUCAACUAAACCAAUUAUAGGAUAGUUUGGGGUGGUUGAGCUGUUGUGGGGAGACAUUGAGAUAGAUGUGGAUUCCAUGUGUGUUAAAUUUUGUGUGGAUUGCUUAAGACCAAUGAGAUGAUAAUUAGGUGAAAAUCUUAAGUUAAAGAUCGAUUUUCGAGAAUAAGUGUUUAAUGAGGGGCAUUGCACUAAUCAUUGCAUAGAAGGG